CUCUACUUCCUUCUAUUUUCACCGACGCUUUAUUUCUCUUCACGUCCAUCGAUCAAUCGUAUCUACAUCCGUAAUUUUUACUUUCCCGACUCUGGCGUUAAGUACAAAGGGCGGCGGUGCAACCAGAAAUUAUAAAUUCAACGGUUUAUAUUUUUUUUUCUGAAAUUUGAGAUGGAAGUAAUUAUCUUCGUGCGAGGGCACGUUCUGGUUUCUUCAUUCCUCGAAAGUAAUGCCAAGGUGUAUAUAUAAGAUGAAGAUGUAAAACAAUAUGUUGGCAACAGUGCAAAGAGGCGAGAGUCAACUGAAAUGCUGUCUCCAACCUAACUUCAAAUGUACAUGUGUACCAGUGGGCUCUGAGAAUACCUCUAACAAUUAUGCACGGCUCAAAUAAUCUUGUGCAUACUACCACACAUGCAUUGCGAUUCAUUUGAGGUGAAUGUACCUUUCAGAGACAUGAAAUAAAUUUCUGUAUACGUAA
Long non-coding RNA from Hylaeus volcanicus, 478 nucleotides. RefSeq lists it as uncharacterized. NCBI's taxonomy places the organism in Eukaryota, Metazoa, Arthropoda, Insecta, Hymenoptera, Colletidae. The record is from RefSeq and is a predicted model, not a curated record. The transcript has 2 exons.